UCAUUACUCGUGGUGUAGGGGUUUAAGGACGCGACCCAUAUACAGAGGCUUUAGUCAUCGACGUAGCAGUCCCGGCCCAGGCGACAUUUGCCGCAUGUCUCCCCCUCUCUCUCUGCCUCUGUUUCCCGUCUAACUCCUGUCAUAAAAUAAUGGGAAAAAUAAAGGCCACUAGUGCCACAAAAAAAAGAAAUGAUCAUUAUUGUUAAUAUUUUUUUAACUGCCUUUUAUGAAGUUACAGUUUAACAGUGUCUCUUCCCUGGUUUUAUUGACCUACCCCUCUUAUGUUCCAGAGGAACAAACGAAGGUCCGGAUCCAGCAGCCAGACCUUUCGGUCCAAAGGAUUUCUACUCCAGGCUCUGAUUUGUUUUCAGGCAGCCUGCAGGCUUGCUGAGGAGUGUGCGUCAGAGCCUGCUCUGAUGAAGAACCCAUUUACAGCCCCUUAUAAACACAGCGAUGCUCAGGAUUCACUGGAAUCUGUCUGUCAAUGUCUGCUGCGCUGCUGUGAUUCUGUGUGGAUACCAACUGUGCUUGUAAGGGCUAAAUACAGUUAUAUACUUCAACUCUGAA
Molecule: long non-coding RNA, 567 nt
Organism: Girardinichthys multiradiatus
Lineage: Eukaryota; Metazoa; Chordata; Actinopteri; Cyprinodontiformes; Goodeidae
Exons: 2
Source: RefSeq, a predicted model, not a curated record